GAUGAACGCUGGCGGCGUGCUUAACACACGCAAGUCGAACGAAGCAUUUGCGACAGAUUUUUUCGGAAUGAAGUUGCUUAUGACUGAGUGGCGGACGGGUGAGUAACGCGUGGGUAACCUGCCUUGUACUGGGGGAUAGCAGCUGGAAACGGCUGGUAAUACCGCACAAGCGCACAAUGUUGCAUGACAUGGUGUGAAAAACUCCGGUGGUAUAAGAUGGACCCGCGUCUGAUUAGCUAGUUGGUGAGAUAACAGCCCACCAAGGCGACGAUCAGUAGCCGACCUGAGAGGGUGACCGGCCACAUUGGGACUGAGACACGGCCCAGACUCCUACGGGAGGCAGCAGUGGGGAAUAUUGCACAAUGGAGGAAACUCUGAUGCAGCGACGCCGCGUGAGUGAAGAAGUAAUUCGUUAUGUAAAGCUCUAUCAGCAGGGAAGAUAGUGACGGUACCUGACGAAGAAGCUCCGGCUAAAUACGUG
Molecule: ribosomal RNA, 481 nt
Filed under: uncultured bacterium
Lineage: Bacteria
Description: partial 16S ribosomal RNA
Rfam family: Bacterial small subunit ribosomal RNA
Source: RNAcentral